AUGCCCCCCGCCCCGUGAUGUCACAGCUCCUAAGACUACAUUUCCCAGAAGUCUGAGGGAAGAAAAUUCCGGGAACUCAUUAGGUGAUUUCUUCAGUUCCUGGAUUUGUGCCUGUUAGUGUUCUGGAGAAGUCCCACAAAAGACCACCAUCCACGAAUGCAAUUAGCAAAAAGGGCCCUGUAGUUCUGCUCUUGUAGUACCAAGGCUGAAGUUCCAGUACCUGUGGCCCCAGUGAAGCCGGCUCCUAGGAGAGUGGAUACAAAGAACUGUGCCUGGCACACAGAAGGGCCUCUGGACCCUGGGGACCUGAGAUUAGACUCAUCUAACACUUGGAAGACAAUGUGAUGAACAGCAGUUCACUAACAUCUCUGUCUCCUUUACCCCAGUGUCCAGAUUACAGCUUUGAGACCACUAAAUGAACUUACCUGUGCAAAGUUAUACAAGACAUGCUCAAUAUUAUUUGCUGGAUUGCUGCUUUGGGUCUCAGAUCAAAAGUCCUACUCAAGUUUUGUUUAAAAAUGUGCCAGCUCAUUGCCUCUGUCAAUACCCAUUGCAUGUAAACAAGAAACUGGAAAACAACAUUUCCUUUAGAGCAGCCUCUAUUGUUUUGUCGAGACGCUUUAAAAAAUAACCAUUGAAGUACUCCAAGUUGUAAGUUGUCAUACCAUCAAAUAAAUUUGCUAUUAUAUCUCCUGUGAAUGGAAAACCAGUUUAUAACUGAAGCAAGGGUACAAUAAAGUCAGCCUCUAGGGUAUGUUGUUGUUUGUUUUUUAGUCUUUGGGGGGGGGGGGCGCGCACAACCCAGUUGCAAAAUAAAUCACAUA
This is a long non-coding RNA of Peromyscus leucopus (white-footed mouse), 824 nucleotides long. RefSeq lists it as uncharacterized. The record is from RefSeq and is a predicted model, not a curated record. Lineage: Eukaryota; Metazoa; Chordata; Mammalia; Rodentia; Cricetidae. The transcript has 3 exons.